GGUGACAGCUGGCGGGCUGCCUAAUACAUGCAAGUCGAGCGAACAGACGAGGAGCCUUCUCCUCUGGCGUUAGCGACGGACGUGUGAGUCACACGUGCCUCACAUACCUCUUAGACUGGGAUCACUUCGUGAAACCACCUCCACUAACAAAUAAUAUAUCGAACCGCUUGGUUCAAUGGAGAAAGACGUCUUUCCUGUCUCUUCUAGAUGGAUCCGCACCUCAUUAGCUAGUUGGUAAGGUAACAGCUUACCAAGGAAACGUUGCGUAGCCGACCUUGGGAGGUGAUCAGCCACACUGGAACUGAGCCACGGUCCACACUCCUACGGGAGGCAGCAUUAUGGAAUCUUCCGCAAUGGGCGAAAGCCUGACGUAGCCAUGCCGCUUGUGUGAUGAAGGUCUUCGGAUCGUAAAACACUUUUGUUAGGAAAGAACAGAUGUUAGAGUUAGUGUGCACUCUAUGACGGUACCCAAUGAGUAAUCCACGUCUAACUACAUG
Molecule: ribosomal RNA, 497 nt
Filed under: uncultured bacterium
Lineage: Bacteria
Description: partial 16S ribosomal RNA
Rfam family: Bacterial small subunit ribosomal RNA
Source: RNAcentral